RNAcentral lists this ribosomal RNA (292 nucleotides) under uncultured bacterium. Its description in RNAcentral is "partial 16S ribosomal RNA". It matches the Rfam family "Bacterial small subunit ribosomal RNA", at positions 505 to 796 of the family's 1533-position model. The record is from RNAcentral.
GUGUCAGCCGCCGCGGUAAAACGUAGGAGACAAACGUUAUCCGGAGUUACUGGGCGUAAAGGGCGUGCAGGCGGUCUGUUAAGUUCGGCGUGAAAGCUCCCGGCUAAACCGGGAUAGGUCGUCGGAUACUGGCAGACUAGAGGACAGUAGAGGCGGGUGGAAUUCCGGGUGUAGUGGUGAAAUGCGUAGAGAUCCGGAGGAACACCAGUGGCGAAGGCGACCCGCUGGGCUGUACCUGACGCUAAGACGCGACAGCAUGGGGAGCGAACGGGAUUAGAUACCCGCGUAGUCC